UUCAAGACGACUAAUAUUUUGUAAUUAUUAAAAUUUAUAUUGAAAAUGGUUAAACAUUCGUUUCUCUUUGUGAUCCUUGGAUUAAUUUGAACACGGGGAAGUAUCUAGAAGUAAUAAAUGAAGCCAUUAAAAGCGUUUACGAAAGCUACGGAAAUACAAUUUUGUAACUGAUUUCAAAAUCUCGGAUCGCUGUGCCCUAGAGCAGACGUGUCCUGAAGAGGAUAUCACGUGUUUGCAAACGCGAUGUGGGACGCCCUUCGUCCCACUGGACUGACGAUCUACGUAAAGUCGUCAGCGGAGGCUGGAUGAGGAUUGCGGAGGCCUAUAUCUGACAGUCUAUUGUUAUAGACAGAAGCGAUUUUCAUUAAUGUUCAUCUUCAGAGCUUUGCUAAUAUUGUAAGCUACCUAUAUGUGUUAUCUUGUUAUUUAUUUUUCAUUUCUUUAUGCCUAUUUAUUAUUGCUUUCAAUAACUAUCAAUACAAUUAAAAUAUAAUAAGAAAAUUAAGUAAUAAGGAAGUAUAAGGUUAUAAUGUCUAAAUAAGAAAAUUAUUUUAUAUGUUAAAUGAAUAGUACUCGUAAGUCCCGGGAUACGUCUGAAAUACA
Molecule: unclassified non-coding RNA, 603 nt
Filed under: Melitaea cinxia (Glanville fritillary)
Lineage: Eukaryota; Metazoa; Arthropoda; Insecta; Lepidoptera; Nymphalidae
Description: misc RNA ENSMCXG00005021209.1
Source: RNAcentral